Molecule: ribosomal RNA, 2988 nt
Filed under: Salmonella enterica subsp. enterica serovar Havana
Lineage: Bacteria; Pseudomonadati; Pseudomonadota; Gammaproteobacteria; Enterobacterales; Enterobacteriaceae
Description: 23S ribosomal RNA
Rfam family: Bacterial large subunit ribosomal RNA
Source: RNAcentral
UUAAGCGACUAAGCGUACACGGUGGAUGCCCUGGCAGUCAGAGGCGAUGAAGGGCGUGCUAAUCUGCGAUAAGCGCCGGUAAGGUGAUAUGAACCGUUAUAACCGGCGAUACCCGAAUGGGGAAACCCAGUGUGACUCGUCACACUAUCAUUAACUGAAUCCAUAGGUUAAUGAGGCGAACCGGGGGAACUGAAACAUCUAAGUACCCCGAGGAAAAGAAAUCAACCGAGAUUCCCCCAGUAGCGGCGAGCGAACGGGGAGGAGCCCAGAGCCUGAAUCAGCAUAUGUGUUAGUGGAAGCGUCUGGAAAGGCGCGCGAUACAGGGUGACAGCCCCGUACACAAAAGCGCAUGUGCUGUGAGCUCGAUGAGUAGGGCGGGACACGUGGUAUCCUGUCUGAAUAUGGGGGGACCAUCCUCCAAGGCUAAAUACUCCUGACUGACCGAUAGUGAACCAGUACCGUGAGGGAAAGGCGAAAAGAACCCCGGCGAGGGGAGUGAAAAAGAACCUGAAACCGUGUACGUACAAGCAGUGGGAGCACCCUUUGGGGUGUGACUGCGUACCUUUUGUAUAAUGGGUCAGCGACUUAUAUUCUGUAGCAAGGUUAACCGUAUAGGGGAGCCGGAGGGAAACCGAGUCUUAACCGGGCGUUAAGUUGCAGGGUAUAGACCCGAAACCCGGUGAUCUAGCCAUGGGCAGGUUGAAGGUUGGGUAACACUAACUGGAGGACCGAACCGACUAAUGUUGAAAAAUUAGCGGAUGACCUGUGGCUGGGGGUGAAAGGCCAAUCAAACCGGGAGAUAGCUGGUUCUCCCCGAAAGCUAUUUAGGUAGCGCCUCGUGAAUUCAUCUCCGGGGGUAGAGCACUGUUUCGGCUAGGGGGCCAUCCCGGCUUACCAACCCGAUGCAAACUGCGAAUACCGGAGAAUGUUAUCACGGGAGACACACGGCGGGUGCUAACGUCCGUCGUGAAGAGGGAAACAACCCAGACCGCCAGCUAAGGUCCCAAAGUCAUGGUUAAGUGGGAAACGAUGUGGGAAGGCCCAGACAGCCAGGAUGUUGGCUUAGAAGCAGCCAUCAUUUAAAGAAAGCGUAAUAGCUCACUGGUCGAGUCGGCCUGCGCGGAAGAUGUAACGGGGCUAAACCAUGCACCGAAGCUGCGGCAGCGAACGUAUCACCCAAGACAACUUUACGGAGUUGACGAUUGACGGAGCGAAGCGACGUCAAAGCGUUCAUUAAAGUCGAGUUGGCUUAGGGAUACGUUCGUUGGGUAGGGGAGCGUUCUGUAAGCCUGCGAAGGUGGCCUGUGAGGGUUGCUGGAGGUAUCAGAAGUGCGAAUGCUGACAUAAGUAACGAUAAAGCGGGUGAAAAGCCCGCUCGCCGGAAGACCAAGGGUUCCUGUCCAACGUUAAUCGGGGCAGGGUGAGUCGACCCCUAAGGCGAGGCCGAAAGGCGUAGUCGAUGGGAAACGGGUUAAUAUUCCCGUACUUGGUGUUACUGCGAAGGGGGGACGGAGAAGGCUAUGUUGGCCGGGCGACGGUUGUCCCGGUUUAAGCGUGUAGGUGUGUGUUCCAGGUAAAUCCGGUUCACUUUAACACUGAGGCGUGACGACGAGGCACUACGGUGCUGAAGCAACAAAUGCCCUGCUUCCAGGAAAAGCCUCUAAGCAUCAGGUAACAUCAAAUCGUACCCCAAACCGACACAGGUGGUCAGGUAGAGAAUACCAAGGCGCUUGAGAGAACUCGGGUGAAGGAACUAGGCAAAAUGGUGCCGUAACUUCGGGAGAAGGCACGCUGACACGUAGGUGAAGUGAUUUACUCACGGAGCUGAAGUCAGUCGAAGAUACCAGCUGGCUGCAACUGUUUAUUAAAAACACAGCACUGUGCAAACACGAAAGUGGACGUAUACGGUGUGACGCCUGCCCGGUGCCGGAAGGUUAAUUGAUGGGGUCAGCGCAAGCGAAGCUCCUGAUCGAAGCCCCGGUAAACGGCGGCCGUAACUAUAACGGUCCUAAGGUAGCGAAAUUCCUUGUCGGGUAAGUUCCGACCUGCACGAAUGGCGUAAUGAUGGCCAGGCUGUCUCCACCCGAGACUCAGUGAAAUUGAACUCGCUGUGAAGAUGCAGUGUACCCGCGGCAAGACGGAAAGACCCCGUGAACCUUUACUAUAGCUUGACACUGAACAUUGAGCCUUGAUGUGUAGGAUAGGUGGGAGGCUUUGAAGUGUGGACGCCAGUCUGCAUGGAGCCGACCUUGAAAUACCACCCUUUAAUGUUUGAUGUUCUAACGUGGACCCGUUACCCGGGUUGCGGACAGUGUCUGGUGGGUAGUUUGACUGGGGCGGUCUCCUCCUAAAGAGUAACGGAGGAGCACGAAGGUUGGCUAAUCCUGGUCGGACAUCAGGAGGUUAGUGCAAUGGCAUAAGCCAGCUUGACUGCGAGCGUGACGGCGCGAGCAGGUGCGAAAGCAGGUCAUAGUGAUCCGGUGGUUCUGAAUGGAAGGGCCAUCGCUCAACGGAUAAAAGGUACUCCGGGGAUAACAGGCUGAUACCGCCCAAGAGUUCAUAUCGACGGCGGUGUUUGGCACCUCGAUGUCGGCUCAUCACAUCCUGGGGCUGAAGUAGGUCCCAAGGGUAUGGCUGUUCGCCAUUUAAAGUGGUACGCGAGCUGGGUUUAGAACGUCGUGAGACAGUUCGGUCCCUAUCUGCCGUGGGCGCUGGAGAACUGAGGGGGGCUGCUCCUAGUACGAGAGGACCGGAGUGGACGCAUCACUGGUGUUCGGGUUGUCAUGCCAAUGGCACUGCCCGGUAGCUAAAUGCGGAAGAGAUAAGUGCUGAAAGCAUCUAAGCACGAAACUUGCCCCGAGAUGAGUUCUCCCUGAGACUUAGAGUCUCCUGAAGGAACGUUGAAGACGACGACGUUGAUAGGCCGGGUGUGUAAGCGCAGCGAUGCGUUGAGCUAACCGGUACUAAUGAACCGUGAGGCUUAACCUU